CCUACGGGAGGCUGCAGUGAGGAAUAUUGGUCAAUGGACGAGAGUCUGAACCAGCCAAGUAGCGUGAAGAAUGACUGCCCUAUGGGUUGUAAACUUCUUUUAUAUGGGAAUAAAACGUUCCACGUGUGGGAUUUUGUAUGUACCAUAUGAAUAAGGAUCGGCUAACUCCGUGCCAGCAGCCGCGGUAAUACGGAGGAUCCGAGCGUUAUCCGGAUUUAUUGGGUUUAAAGGGAGCGUAGGUGGAUUGUUAAGUCAGUUGUGAAAGUUUGCGGCUCAACCGUAAAAUUGCAGUUGAAACUGGCAGUCUUGAGUACAGUAGAGGUGGGCGGAAUUCGUGGUGUAGCGGUGAAAUGCUUAGAUAUCACGAAGAACUCCGAUUGCGAAGGCAGUUCACUGGACUGCAACUGACACUGAGGCUCGAAAGUGUGGGUAUCAAACAGGAUUAGAUACCCUGGUAGUC
RNAcentral lists this ribosomal RNA (460 nucleotides) under uncultured bacterium. RNAcentral describes it as "partial 16S ribosomal RNA". It matches the Rfam family "Bacterial small subunit ribosomal RNA", at positions 338 to 795 of the family's 1533-position model. The record is from RNAcentral.